Molecule: ribosomal RNA, 253 nt
Filed under: uncultured bacterium
Lineage: Bacteria
Description: partial 16S ribosomal RNA
Rfam family: Bacterial small subunit ribosomal RNA
Source: RNAcentral
UACAGAGGGGGCAAGCGUUAUCCGGAAUUAUUGGGCGUAAAGGGCGCGUAGGCGGCUUCACAGGUCCGCUGUGAAAACUCGAGGCUCAACCUCGAGCUGUCGGUGGAAACCGUGUGGCUAGAGUCCGGAAGAGGAGAGUGGAAUUCCCGGUGUAGCGGUGAAAUGCGCAGAUAUCGGGAAGAACACCCGUGGCGAAGGCGGCUCUCUGGGACGGUACUGACGCUGAGACGCGAAAGCGUGGGGAGCGAACAGG